Molecule: ribosomal RNA, 1377 nt
Filed under: uncultured bacterium
Lineage: Bacteria
Description: 16S ribosomal RNA
Rfam family: Bacterial small subunit ribosomal RNA
Source: RNAcentral
CAUGGCUCAAGACGAACGCUGGCGGCGUGCUUAACACAUGCAAGUCGAACGAUGAAGCGGCGCUUGCACCGUGGAUUAGUGGCGAACGGGUUGAGUAAUACGUGAGUCGACCUACCUUUGACUCUGGGAUAAGCCUGGGAAACUGGGUCUAAUACCGGAUACGACCGAUUCUCUGCAUGGGGUGUUGGUGGAAAGCGUUAUGGAGUGGUUUUAGAUGGGCUCACGGCCUAUCAGCUUGUUGGUGAGGUAAUGGCUUACCAAGGCGACGACGGGUAGCCGGCCUGAGAGGGUGACCGGCCACACUGGGACUGAGACACGGCCCAGACUCCUACGGGAGGCAGCAGUGGGGAAUAUUGCACAAUGGGCGCAAGCCUGAUGCAGCGACGCCGCGUGAGGGAUGACGGCCUUCGGGUUGUAAACCUCUGUUAGCAUCGAAGAAGCGAAAGUGACGGUAGGUGCAGAGAAAGCGCCGGCUAACUACGUGCCAGCAGCCGCGGUAAUACGUAGGGCGCGAGCGUUGUCCGGAAUUAUUGGGCGUAAAGAGCUUGUAGGGCGGUUGGUCGCGUCUGCUGUGAAAGGCCGGGGCUUAACUCCGGUUUUGCAGUGGGUACGGGCUAACUAGAGUGCAGUAGGGGAGACUGGAAUUCCUGGUGUAGCGGUGGAAUGCACAGAUAUCAGGAGGAACACCGAUGGCGAAGGCAGGUCUCUGGGCUGUAACUGACGCUGAGAAGCGAAAGCAUGGGGAGCGAACAGGAUUAGAUACCCUGGUAGUCCAUGCCGUAAACGUUGGGCACUAGGUGUGGGGGACAUUCCACGUUUUCCGCGCCGUAGCUAACGCAUUAAGUGCCCCGCCUGGGGAGUACGGCCGCAGGGCUAAAACUCAAAGGAAUUGACGGGGGCCCGCACAAGCGGCGGAGCAUGCGGAUUAAUUCGAUGCAACGCGAAGAACCUUACCAAGGCUUGACAUGCAUUAGAUCGCGUCAGAGAUGGCGUUUCCCUUCGGGGCUGGUGUACAGGUGGUGCAUGGUUGUCGUCAGCUCGUGUCGUGAGAUGUUGGGUUAAGUCCCGCAACGAGCGCAACCCUCGUUCUAUGUUGCCAGCGGUUCGGCCGGGGACUCAUAGGAGACUGCCGGGGUCAACUCGGAGGAAGGUGGGGAUGACGUCAAAUCAUCAUGCCCCUUAUGUCUUGGGCUUCACGCAUGCUACAAUGGCCGGUACAGAGGGUUGCGGUACUGUGAGGUGGAGCUAAUCCCUUAAAGCCGGUCUCAGUUCGGAUUGGGGUCUGCAACUCGACCCCAUGAAGUCGGAGUCGCUAGUAAUCGCAGAUCAGCAACGCUGCGGUGAAUACGUUCCCGGGCCUUGUACACACCGCCCGUC